RNAcentral lists this ribosomal RNA (296 nucleotides) under uncultured bacterium. RNAcentral's name for it is "partial 16S ribosomal RNA". It matches the Rfam family "Bacterial small subunit ribosomal RNA", at positions 775 to 1067 of the family's 1533-position model. The record is from RNAcentral.
GGAUUAGAUACCCUGGUAGUCCACGCCCUAAACGAUGUCUACUAGUUGUUGGUGGAGUAAAAUCCAUGAGUAACGCAGCUAACGCGUGAAGUAGACCGCCUGGGGAGUACGGUCGCAAGAUUAAAACUCAAAUGAAUUGACGGGGGCCCGCACAAGCGGUGGAUUAUGUGGAUUAAUUCGAUGCAACGCGAAAAACCUUACCUGGCCUUGACAUGUAACGAACUUUCCAGAGAUGGAUUGGUGCUCGAAAGAGAACGUUAACACAGGUGCUGCAUGGCUGUCGUCAGCUCGUGCCG